Long non-coding RNA from Magnolia sinica, 856 nucleotides. RefSeq lists it as uncharacterized. The transcript has 3 exons. NCBI's taxonomy places the organism in Eukaryota, Viridiplantae, Streptophyta, Magnoliopsida, Magnoliales, Magnoliaceae. The record is from RefSeq and is a predicted model, not a curated record.
UUAGUUAAUUUGCUCCCUUAGGCUGCAUUUGGCUUGGGUUUAUCAAGAAAUAACAUGCAAUUUAGUCAAAUUCCAUAUGAAAUGAUACACCUGUCGAUACCAACAGCUCUUUCUUUCUGAUACAACACUAAAGAGCCUCAGUCAUCAUUUUUGAAAAUUCUACUAAGAGUAGAAAUUCCACAAUUACAAACUAUUUUUAUCUGCUUCUAAAAUGGCCAUGAGCCAGAUGCAGCCUUAACUUGCUUCUCUUGCUUCUGACUGUCCUACUAUGGUUCUUGAGAAAUUUGUAUAAUUUUCUAAUCUACUUUUGUAUCAGCAAUUUUAACAGUUCUGUGUGAUUACUGAUAUUGGAUCAUUAGGAAGUGCUACUUCAUUUUAUUGGUUCGCAUUAAAUUUUCAGUUUUACUAUGAUACAUCCAUAUGUUGUUAGUGGGCCGUAUAUUAUUGUUGGUUGAUGGACAUAUUUGGGUAAUUGUGUUCUUGCUGAAUCUUUAGUGGUUUACCAGUCUUAGAAGUAGGCAGAUAUCUAUUAGGUUACUGUGCUUGCUUGCUUUUUCUUCUUUUUUACCUUUUACUUUAGCGCAACAUCUUUGCAGAGUGGAAGUGAUGCAAUCUUCUAGUUUUCAUUGGUGGUCCAUGCGAAAUGUCAUGUUGUUGGUGAAGCUCAUCAGAAAAUUUUCACAUUACUCAUUGUCUUUGAAACAUUCUUAUUGGAAGCAUAUCCGUGGAAAAGCGAACUGCGGCUCCAUCAAAGUACCCUCUGUUGAGAUGUGGAGCUAGCUAUUGUAUCAUAUGGAUGUCAAGAAUGCCUUUCUUCAUGGAGAAAAUGUGGAGAUUUUCAUAAAUGCUUCACCUU